Molecule: RNA transcript, 3965 nt
Organism: Nycticebus coucang (slow loris)
Lineage: Eukaryota; Metazoa; Chordata; Mammalia; Primates; Lorisidae
Gene: ERAP1
Gene name: endoplasmic reticulum aminopeptidase 1
Exons: 20
Source: RefSeq, a predicted model, not a curated record
UUCCCCGGCUCCUGCCGCAGCGCUCGGCCGACUCACCCAGCCGCGCCGUCCCGCCGCGAUCUGGGCUCCACUUUCACUUUCGGUUGAGCGGCGGCGAGGCGGUCGGCAGAGGGGCUAGCAGGAGCAGGCUCGGGCCGGACCCCCAGGUAGUGUGACCAAGAAGAUGGUAUUUCUGUCCUUCAGAUGGCCACUUGCAGCCUUGUCUUGUCUACUUCCCUCCCUGGUGACUCUCUUAACUGUGUCAACUCCUUCAUGGUGUCAGAACAGUGAAGCUGCAUCUCCAAAAGCCCCUGAUGGGACACCAUUUCCGUGGAAUAAAAUGCGACUUCCUGAGCAUGUCAUCCCUGUUCAUUAUGACCUCAUGAUUCAUGCAAAUCUCACCACACUGACCUUCUGGGGAACUGUGGAAGUAGAAAUAGCAGUUAGCCAGCCCACCACUGCCAUCAUCCUGCAUGGUCACCACCUGCAGGUCUCCAAGGCCAGCCUCAGGAAAGGGGCUGGAGAACAGCCAUCUGCAGAGCCACUGAGGGUCCUGGAGCAUCCUCCCCUUGAGCAGAUCGCACUUCUGGCCCCAGAGCCCCUCCUCGCUGGGCUUCCAUACACAGUUGUCAUCCAAUAUGCUGGCAAUCUCUCUGAGAACUUCCACGGAUUUUAUAAAAGUACCUACAGAACCAAGGAAGGGGACAUGAGGAUACUUGCAUCAACACAGUUUGAACCCACUGCAGCUAGAAUGGCCUUCCCCUGCUUUGAUGAACCUGCCCUCAAAGCACGUUUCUCCAUCAAGAUUAGAAGGGAGCCUCAGCACCUCGCUAUCUCCAACAUGCCCUUGGUAAAAUCUGUGACUAUUUCUGGAGGACUCAUAGAAGACCAUUUUGAUGUCACUGUGAAGAUGAGCACCUAUUUAGUAGCCUUCAUUAUUUCAGAUUUUGAGUCUGUCAGCAAGAUGACCAAGAGCGGAGUCAAGGUUUCCAUAUAUGCUGUGCCAGACAAGAUACAUCAGGCAGAUUACGCGCUGGGUGCUGCAGUGACUCUUCUAGAAUUUUAUGAGGAUUAUUUCAGUAUACCAUAUCCCCUACCCAAACAAGAUCUUGCUGCUAUUCCUGACUUUCAGUCUGGUGCAAUGGAAAACUGGGGACUGACAACAUAUAGAGAAUCUUCUCUGUUGUUUGAUGCAGAGAAGUCUUCUGCAUCAAGUAAGCUUGCCAUCACAAUGACUGUGGCUCAUGAACUCGCCCACCAGUGGUUUGGGAACCUGGUCACUAUGGAGUGGUGGAAUGAUCUUUGGCUAAAUGAGGGAUUCGCCAAGUUUAUGGAGUUUGUGUCUGUCAGUGUGACCCAUCCUGAGCUGAAAGUUGAAGAUUAUUUUUUUGGCAAGUGUUUUAAUGUGAUGGAAGUAGAUGCUUUAAACUCCUCACACCCUGUGUCCACACCUGUUGAAAAUCCUGCUCAGAUCCAGGAGAUGUUUGAUGAUGUUUCUUAUGAAAAGGGAGCUUGUAUUCUGAAUAUGCUAAGGGAUUACCUUAGUGCCGAUGUAUUUAAAAGUGGUAUCAUAUACUAUCUUCAGAAGUAUAGCUAUAAAAACACCAAAAACGAGGACCUGUGGAAUUCUAUGGCAAGUAUUUGCCCUACCAAUGACCCACAGAGCACGGAUGGCUUUUGCCCUGGAGAUCAACAUUCUUCCUCAUCCUCACACUGGCGAUGGGAAGGCCUCGAUGUGCAGGCCAUGAUGGACACCUGGACACUGCAGAAGGGCUUUCCUCUGAUAACCGUCACGGUGAGAGGGAGGAACGUGCACCUGAAGCAGCAGCAUUAUAUGAAGGCCUCUGACGACGCCCCAGAGACUGGGUACCUGUGGCAUGUUCCACUGACAUUCAUUACCAGCAAAUCAGACACGGUCCAUAGAUUUUUGCUGAAAGCAAAGACAGAUGUGCUCAUUCUCCCAGAGGAGGUGGAAUGGAUCAAAUUCAACGUGGGAAUGAAUGGCUAUUACAUUGUGCAUUAUGAGGGUGAAGGCUGGGAUUCUCUGACUGGCCUUUUAAAAGGAACACACAGAGCCAUCAGCAGCCAGGAUCGGGCGAGUCUCAUUCACAACGCGUUCCAGCUGGCCAGCAUUGGAAAGGUAUCGAUUGAAAAAGCCUUGGACUUAGCCCUAUACUUGAAACAUGAAACUGAAAUUCUGCCCGUGUUCCAAGGUUUGAAUGAGCUGAUACCUAUAUAUAAGUUAAUGGAGAAAAGAGACAUGAAUGAAGUGGAAACUCAAUUCAAGGCCUUCCUCAUCAGGCUGCUGAGGGAUCUCAUUGACAGGCAGGCGUGGGCUGACGAAGGCUCUGUGACAGAGCGGCUGCUGCGGAGCCGGCUUCUGCUGCUGGCCUGCGUGCGUGGGUACCAGCCCUGUGUGCAGAGGGCGGAAGGCUAUUUCAGAAGGUGGAAGGAAUCUGGUGGAAAUUUGAGCCUACCAAAUGAUGUGACCUUGGCGGUGUUUGCUGUGGGGGCCCAGAACACUGAAGGCUGGGAUUUUCUUUAUAAUAAAUAUCAGUCUUCUUUAUCCAGUGCUGAGAAAGAGCAAGUUGAAUUUGCCCUCUGUAUGAGCCAGAAUAAGGACAAGCUUCAGUGGCUACUAGACCAAAGUUUUAAGGGAGACAUAAUAAAAACUCAGGAGUUUCCAGGUAUUCUUACACUUAUCGGCAGAAACCCAGUAGGAUAUCCAUUGGCCUGGCAGUUUCUGAGGGAAAAUUGGAACAAACUUGUACAAAAGUUUGAACUUGGUUCACCUUCCAUAGCCCACAUGGUGAUGGGCACAACAAAUCAAUUCUCCACAAGAACAUGGCUUGAAGAGGUAAAAGGAUUCUUCAGCUCUUUGAAAAAAAAUGGUUCUCAGCUUAGGUGUGUCCAACAAACAAUUGAAACCAUUGAAGAAAAUAUACGCUGGAUGGAUAAGAAUUUUGAUAAAAUCAGAGUAUGGCUGCAAAAUGAAAAGCUGGAACUGUUGUAACAAGUGUUCUGUUCCCUGCCUGGUUCCUCUUAUCUAUAAUCACCAAAAUUUUGCUGAAUGCUUUGGGAAGUGGGUGCUUGUAUGUUUUCAUGGCUUCAUGUAAGACCUCCCAUAUCUGAAGAUUAAGAUCAGGACCCAGCUCUCAAAUUCCUUCAUCUAUUGGUUUCCUUUAGUCACCAUAAUGUAGAAUCAAACACAGGACUUUACAAAAUUAAGACAAAUGCGUUGGUUGUAUAGUGGUGAGCUUAGCUGCCUUCCAAAAUUAAGACAAAUAAAGUGGCCAAUGUUUUCCUUUGCCCUUGGUUCCAAAAAUCCCUGUAAUUUAUUUCCCCCAGACACUGAACUUCUCCCCACCCCACAUGUUGGUAUCUUGGGUAAUAAUAUCUUUCUUAAGGACAUUUUGCUAAAUUGUAACACGAUAAUUUUGCUUUGCCAUAAUAAUGGAUUCCAAAGACUCAACUAGCUUUGGAUAGUCCUUUUCUUUAAGUGUUUGGCCUAAUAUUUUAAAGAGCUCUUAAUUAUAAGAUUAAUGUUUUUAUUUAUUUAUUUGAGACAGAGUCUCAAACUGUUGCCUUCGGUACAGUGCCAUGGUGUCACAGCUCACAGCAACGUCUAACUCUAGGGCUUAAGCGAUUCUCUUGCCUCAGCCUCCCAAGUACCUGGGACUACAGGCACCCGCCACACACCCGGCUAUUUUUUGAUUGUAGUUGUCAUUGUUGUUUGGCAGGCUUGGGCUGGAUUUGAACCCGCCAGGUCCGGUGUAUGUGGCUGGUGCCCUAGCUCCUGAGCUACAGGCACCAAGCCAGAUUAAGGUUUUUUAAAGUUUCAAGAACACAGCCACCCCAUUUAGUGCUUUUCAGAGAAUGACUUACAGCUCUGCAGACUGGGCAGUGGGCAUUUCAUGCCCAUGGCAUAAGGGAAGCAGGAAUGUACAAGAGGUGGGCUCCAUGUAACACUGGGGCUGAAGAAGGUG